CUUCCGCUCACAGAUCCUUCAUCUUGUUGCCAACUGCGCCCACCUAUUUGGAGGCUUCUCCCUGAGAGUGGCAACUUCAAAGUGUGGGAGGCAGGGCGACUCUGCGGUUGAGAACCCUCAAGGAUCUCAGUGUUAGACUCUGCUCACGGAUUCCCGGGGCCCCUGCUCCAGGGAAAUGACCCCUGGUGACCUUGCCCCUCACCCUCAAACCCUGUCACCUCACCAUAAAGGCCUAACCCUUUCUGGGAAAAUGAAUCCCAUUUCCAACUUGGCGCGCUGCUAAUUCUAUAAGCCCUAACAAAGGCGCCUUGCAUCUGCAGUAUACUUUUCCUUUUAGAAUAUGGCAAGCCUUGAGUUCUAGACCCAUCUCUGCCUAGACCUUUCCAAAGCCUUAGUUUUGAAGUGUACGGAGAACCCACUCCCGGAUCCUUAGAAAGCCAAACACUGCCACACCUUAAGAUUCUGCAAGAAGGGAAAGAUUUACUGCAAUCCUGUAUGCAAUGGAAGAAGCAAAGCUCAGGAACUGUUUUUGCAAGGAGCACUUAAAACUGAUUCUACAAAGGACAUGAUCUCAGCUAAGUAGCAGACAAGUAUGAGAGAAAAGUCUAAGUCCUGCAUUUAAGAAGAUGGACAUUGUGGUCCGAGAAGUGGUGCAAUAGAUAAAGCAUUGCGUUCUCUAGCAUGAGGUCCCAAGUUCUGUCCUCAACAAUACAUAUACCAAAGUGAUGUUCUAGUUCUCUUUCUCUCUCUCUCUUCCUAUCUCUCACUAAUAAAUAAAUAUAAUGAAAA
Long non-coding RNA from Erinaceus europaeus (western European hedgehog), 789 nucleotides. RefSeq lists it as uncharacterized. The record is from RefSeq and is a predicted model, not a curated record. The transcript is spliced from 3 exons. Lineage: Eukaryota; Metazoa; Chordata; Mammalia; Eulipotyphla; Erinaceidae.